CCCCUGGUGGUCUAGCUGGUAUGAUGUCGGGCUGUAAACCUGAAGGUCGCGGGCUCGAUUCCCGCCCGGGGGA
Molecule: transfer RNA, 73 nt
Filed under: Ascocoryne sarcoides NRRL 50072
Lineage: Eukaryota; Fungi; Ascomycota; Leotiomycetes; Helotiales; Gelatinodiscaceae
Description: tRNA-Tyr (GTA) (tRNA-Tyr-GTA-1-1)
Rfam family: tRNA
About the family: Transfer RNA (tRNA) molecules are approximately 80 nucleotides in length. Their secondary structure includes four short double-helical elements and three loops (D, anti-codon, and T loops). Further hydrogen bonds mediate the characteristic L-shaped molecular structure. tRNAs have two regions of fundamental functional importance: the anti-codon, which is responsible for specific mRNA codon recognition, and the 3' end, to which the tRNAs corresponding amino acid is attached (by aminoacyl-tRNA synthetases). tRNAs cope with the degeneracy of the genetic code in two manners: having more than one tRNA (with a specific anti-codon) for a particular amino acid; and 'wobble' base-pairing, i.e. permitting non-standard base-pairing at the 3rd anti-codon position.
Source: RNAcentral